GAUGAAGAACGCAGCGAAAUGCGAUACUUGGUGUGAAUUGCAGAAUCCCGUGAACCAUCGAGUCUUUGAACGCAAGUUGCGCCCGAAGCCAUCAGGUUGAGGGCACGUCUGCCUGGGCGUCACAUAUCGUUGCCCAAUGCCUAUUGCAGUGCAAUAGGAAUUUCUAGGGCGAAUGAUGGCUUCCCGUGAGCGUUGUUGCCUCGCGGUUGGUUGAAAAUCGAGUCCUUGGUAGGGUGUGCCAUGGUAGAUGGUGGUCGAGUUAGAACGAGACCGAUCAUGUGCAUGCUCCCCAAAAUAUGGCCUCUAUGACCCACACGCGUCUUUUGACGCUCAUGACGAGACCUCAGGUCAGGCGGGGCUACCCGCUGAAUUUAAGCAUAUCAAUAAGCGGAGGA
Molecule: unclassified non-coding RNA, 395 nt
Filed under: soil metagenome
Description: partial contains 5.8S ribosomal RNA, internal transcribed spacer 2, and large subunit ribosomal RNA
Rfam family: 5.8S ribosomal RNA (bases 1-122)
Source: RNAcentral